UACGUAGGUCCCGAGCGUUGUCCGGAUUUAUUGGGCGUAAAGCGAGCGCAGGUGGUUUAAUAAGUCUGAUGUAAAAGGCAGUGGCUCAACCAUUGUGUGCAUUGCAAACUGUUAGACUUGAGUGCAGUAGAGGAGAGUGGAAUUCCAUGUGUAGCGGUGAAAUGCGUAGAUAUAUGGAGGAACACCGGUGGCGAAAGCGGCUCUCUGGACUGUAACUGACACUGAGGCUCGAAAGCGUGGGGAGCAAACAGG
Molecule: ribosomal RNA, 252 nt
Filed under: uncultured microorganism
Description: partial 16S ribosomal RNA
Rfam family: Bacterial small subunit ribosomal RNA
Source: RNAcentral